This 497-nucleotide ribosomal RNA is filed under the name uncultured bacterium. RNAcentral's name for it is "partial 16S ribosomal RNA". It matches the Rfam family "Bacterial small subunit ribosomal RNA", at positions 28 to 507 of the family's 1533-position model. The record is from RNAcentral.
GAUGAACGCUGGCGGCGUGCCUAAUACAUGCAAGUCGAGCGAACAGACGAGGAGCUUGCUCCUCUGACGUUAGCGGCGGACGGGUGAGUAACACGUGGAUACCCUACCUAUAAGACUGGGAUAACUUCGGGAAACCGGAGCUAAUACCGGAUAAUAUAUUGAACCGCAUGGUUCAAUAGUGAAAGACGGUUUUGCUGUCUCUUAUAGAUGGAUCCGCGCCGCAUUAGCUAGUUGGUAAGGUAACGGCUUACCAAGGCGACGAUGCGUAGCCGACCUGAGAGGGGGAUAGGCCACACUGGAACUGGGACGCGGUCCAGACUCCUAAGGGAGGCAGCAGUAGGGAAUCUGCCGCAAUGGGCGAAAGCCUGACGGAGCAACGCCGCGUGAGUGAUGAAGGUCUUCGGAUCGUAAAACUCUGUUAUUAGGGAAGAACAAAUGUGUAAGUAACUAUGCACGUCUUGACGGUACCUAAUCAGAAAGCCACGGCUAACUACGUG